This 468-nucleotide ribosomal RNA is filed under the name uncultured bacterium. Its description in RNAcentral is "partial 16S ribosomal RNA". It matches the Rfam family "Bacterial small subunit ribosomal RNA", at positions 28 to 507 of the family's 1533-position model. The record is from RNAcentral.
GACGAACGCUGGCGGCGUGCUUAACACAUGCAAGUCGAACGGAAAGGCCCUGCUUUUGUGGGGUGCUCGAGUGGCGAACGGGUGAGUAACACGUGAGUAACCUGCCCUUGACUUUGGGAUAACUUCAGGAAACUGGGGCUAAUACCGGAUAGGAGCUCCUGCUGCAUGGUGGGGGUUGGAAAGUUUCGGCGGUCGGGGAUGGACUCGCGGCUUAUCAGCUUGUUGGUGGGGUAGUGGCUUACCAAGGCUUUGACGGGUAGCCGGCCUGAGAGGGUGACCGGCCACAUUGGGACUGAGAGACGGCCCAGACUCCUACGGGAGGCAGAAGUGGGGAAUAUUGCACAAUGGGCGGAAGCCUGAUGCAGCAACGCCGCGUGCGGGAUGACGGCCUUCGGGUUGUAAACCGCUUUCGCCUGUGACGAAGCGUGAGUGACGGUAAUGGGUAAAGAAGCACCGGCUAACUACGUG